GGUGAGAUGGCCGAGCGGUCUAAGGCGCCAGACUAAGGACCAAAGCAGUUGCUGCUUUCUCAUCUGGUCCGAAAGGGCGUGGGUUCGAAUCCCACUCUCAUCA
Molecule: non-coding RNA, 103 nt
Organism: Blastosporella zonata
Lineage: Eukaryota; Fungi; Basidiomycota; Agaricomycetes; Agaricales; Lyophyllaceae
Source: the annotation of a GenBank genome assembly